RNAcentral lists this ribosomal RNA (433 nucleotides) under uncultured Coriobacteriaceae bacterium. RNAcentral describes it as "partial 16S ribosomal RNA". It matches the Rfam family "Bacterial small subunit ribosomal RNA", at positions 341 to 792 of the family's 1533-position model. The record is from RNAcentral. Lineage: Bacteria; Bacillati; Actinomycetota; Coriobacteriia; Coriobacteriales; Coriobacteriaceae.
ACGGAAGGCAGCAGUGGGGAAUUUUGCGCAAUGGGGGGAACCCUGACGCAGCAACGCCGCGUGCGGGAUGAAGGCCUUCGGGUUGUAAACCGCUUUCAGCAGGGACGAUUAUGACGGUACCUGCAGAAGAAGCUCCGGCUAACUACGUGCCAGCAGCCGCGGUAAUACGUAGGGAGCGAGCGUUAUCCGGAUUCAUUGGGCGUAAAGCGCGCGUAGGCGGCUUGCUAAGCGGAACCUCUAAUCCGAGGGCUCAACCCCCGGCCGGGUUCCGAACUGGCAGGCUCGAGUGCGGUAGGGGCAAGUGGAAUUCCAUGUGUAGCGGUGGAAUGCGCGGAUAUAUGGAAGAACACCGAUGGCGAAGGCAGCUUGCUGGGCCGACACUGACGCUGAGGUGCGAAAGCGUGGGGAGCGAACAGGAUUAGAUACCCUGGUA